RNAcentral lists this ribosomal RNA (807 nucleotides) under Lecanoromycetes sp. s107. RNAcentral describes it as "eukaryotic LSU rRNA". The stretch from base 481 to 634 matches the Rfam family "5.8S ribosomal RNA". Lineage: Eukaryota; Fungi; Ascomycota; Lecanoromycetes. The record is from RNAcentral.
AGAAGUAAAAGUCGUAACAAGGUUUCCGUAGGUCUGCGAAAGGUUUGCCUACCGGAGCCCCCGUAGCGACUGUAAAUCAAAUACGCCCAGUCCGGCCCUAGGGCCGGGCGACGUUGCGAUUCUGAGCUGGAAGCUCCGGGCCCUCGCCGCCCGGGGCAACCAGCAGCCCGGUACUCCCGAGUUCACAGAUCAAACUGCAGCGGCCAUCGCAGCGUGGUUCAGAUAUGACCGGUCCUCAGCUGAAAUAUCUGGGGAGUUUCGGAACCUGCGGAAGGAUCAUUACCGAGAGAGGAGCUCCGCGCUCCCGGGGUUUCCAGCCCCGACUCUUCAACCCUGUGUCUACGUUAACUAUGUUGCUUUGGCGGGCCUUGGAGGUUUUCCUCGACGCCGGCCCGGGGUCGUCCCGGGUUGACGAGCGCCCGUCAGAGGCCCUUAAAUCUUGUUUCAUCAGUGACGUCCGAGUAAGCACAAAAUAACUAAAACUUUCAACAACGGAUCUCUUGGUUCUGGCAUCGAUGAAGAACGCAGCGAAAUGCGAUAAGUAAUGUGAAUUGCAGAAUUCAGUGAAUCAUCGAAUCUUUGAACGCACAUUGCGCCCCUUGGUAUUCCGAGGGGCAUGCCUGUUCGAGCGUCAUUGCACCCUUCAAGCAUUGCUUGGUAUUGGGCUUUCGCCCCCUCUCGGGGAGGCGUGCCCGAAAGUUAGUGGCGGUCCAGUGCGACUUCGAGCGUAGUAGAAUCAACCCGCUUUCGAAGCUUUCGCGCUGUGGCUCUGCCAGACAGCCCCAAUUGAAUUUCAAUGGUGACCUC